This 468-nucleotide ribosomal RNA is filed under the name uncultured bacterium. Its description in RNAcentral is "partial 16S ribosomal RNA". It matches the Rfam family "Bacterial small subunit ribosomal RNA", at positions 28 to 507 of the family's 1533-position model. The record is from RNAcentral.
GACGAACGCUGGCGGCGUGCUUAACACAUGCAAGUCGAACGGAAAGGCCCUGCUUUUGUGGGGUGCUCGAGUGGCGAACGGGUGAGUAACACGUGAGUAACCUGCCCUUGACUUUGGGAUAACUUCAGGAAACUGGGGCUAAUACCGGAUAGGAGCUCCUGCUGCAUGGUGGGGGUUGGAAAGUUUCGGCGGUUGGGGAUGGACUCGCGGCUUAUCAGCUUGUUGGUGGGGUAGUGGCUUACCAAGGCUUUGACGGGUAGCCGGCCUGAGAGGGUGACCGGCCACAUUGGUACUGAGAUACAGCCCAGACUCCUACGGGAGGCAGCAGUGGGGAAUAUUGCACAAUGGGCGGAAGCCUGAUGCAGCAACGCCGCGUGCGGGAUGACGGCCUUCGGGUUGUAAACCGCUUUCGCCUGUGACGAAGCGUGAGUGACGGUAAUGGGUAAAGAAGCACCGGCUAACUACGUG